CCUACGGGUGGCAGCAGUGGGGAAUAUUGCACAAUGGGGGAAACCCUGAUGCAGCGACGCCGCGUGAGUGAAGAAGUAUUUCGGUAUGUAAAGCUCUAUCAGCAGGGAAGAAAAUGACGGUACCUGAUUAAGAAGCCCCGGCUAACUACGUGCCAGCAGCCGCGGUAAUACGUAGGGGGCAAGCGUUUUCCGGUUUUACUGGGUGGAAAGGGAGCGUAGACGGCAGCACAAGUCUGGAGUGAAAUGCCGGGGCUUAACCCCGGAACUGCUUUGGAAACUGUGCAGCUUGAGUGCAGGAGAGGUAAGUGGAAUUCCUAGUGUAGCGGUGAAAUGCGUAGAUAUUAGGAGGAACACCAGUGGCGAAGGCGGCCUACUGGACUGUAACUGACGCUGAGGCUCGAAAGCGUGGGGAGCAAACAGGAUUAGAUACCCCGGUAGUC
RNAcentral lists this ribosomal RNA (440 nucleotides) under uncultured bacterium. RNAcentral describes it as "partial 16S ribosomal RNA". It matches the Rfam family "Bacterial small subunit ribosomal RNA", at positions 338 to 795 of the family's 1533-position model. The record is from RNAcentral.